AUCCUCCUCCAACACCUAAACAGGACCAUUGCCAACGCGUUCUAAUACAAUGUCUUUCCUGAGACACUAGUACAACACCUCUCUAAGCUCUAGUCUGAUCAUAAAUCUCUACUUAUCAAAACUAGAAUCAGCCAAUCACACUGUAGGAAGCCCCAACCGUUUCAUUUCCUUGCAGCUGGGAUCACCCAUCCGGACUUCCCAAACCUGGUCAAACAUAGUUAGAAUGGCUUUGUCUCUUUCUAGGCCACCAUGGAGAACUUCUUA
RNAcentral lists this long non-coding RNA (264 nucleotides) under Carica papaya (papaya). RNAcentral describes it as "long non-coding RNA (CPAP_LNC008442)". The record is from RNAcentral. Lineage: Eukaryota; Viridiplantae; Streptophyta; Magnoliopsida; Brassicales; Caricaceae.